GCAAAAGCACCCCACCACCAAAAACUAUAUCAAACGGCCCUUGCAGCACAACUAAAGAGUUUACAUCAUUCAUAUAAGGCAAAACAACAAUGGAAUAAAUAGACAUAAAACUAACCUAAUUAUCUAACAUAGAUAUAUUGUAACUAGCAAAAGAAUUCGCAACAUGGUUUGCAUUUCGGCCAACAUGAAGAAUGUUGAAAGACUCUAGAUCUCUGAGUCUCCACCUAAGCAUUUUCUCCCUCUCAAUAACGUUUUGCAUAGCUCUAACUAAGGCCAAAACACCCCCACAAGUUUCCUAAACUAAAAUAUUGCAGUCAUUGAGAACCAUCUCAUUCCUUCGCUACCAAAUACAAUCAAUGGUAACCCCGACCCCAAGACCCGGCUCCUCCAGUAAAAACCAUUUAAACUUUUAGAAGUUGUAAUAUUUAGCUUAAUCCAUGUAGUCAGAUUCGUGCGCAAAGAUCCCAAACACAAGACAAGACCUUAACCACCUUGGCUACCACAAUCACGAAUGGCAUGGGCAAUAGUUUCAAUAACAACACCACACAAAGGAUAGGUUGCAAUUUGCGUCACAUGCCUCUUUGCCUGCAACUCAUUAACAUGAAGAAUCCUCCUACGAACCUGCCACAAUAGAAAUCUAAUAUGCUUUGGCUCGGGACAAGACCAAUAGCUUUAAGGUAGUCCCUGUUAAAUCAAAAUGCAUUUAUGUCUUAGGAUGAAUCAUAAUUCUUAAUUAUUUUUAUUAGAUGUAAAUAAAUAAAAAGGUUAAAAGUUGUGUCUUAUGUACAACAUUUAAGAAUAUAUUUAAGGCUUCAUUUAAUAUUAUGUGUCUGAGAUUCGUUUUGUAGGAAUUGUCUUAUAAGACAUUCUCCUAAGAUAUGUCGAAUCACAUGAAGAAGUCCAAAUGCUUUGGAGUUGUCAAACAGUAUGAAAAGACACACGCUACUAUGAUAAACAUGCUUUGACGAAAAAAAGUGAUUUUCCUGUUGAAGUGUUCUUCACAAAAGUUAAAGAAAGUGGUUUUCUAGCAUGAAGGGAACAUGCAUUUAAUGCUCCAAGAGCACAAUAUUCAGACAAGAGCUCAAGUGAUAAAUCUAUCCAUUUAGAGACAAUUGACACUUGAAGAAGAGGCCCAUAAAUACCAGAAACUUUGAAUAAAUGAAAAUGAAUCUACACACUAACAUUUGAAUUCUCUCUAUAAAAAGCUUUUUGUAUAUUCUUGUAAAGCUCAAAAGCCCUUAAAACAUUUUGAACAUCCUGAGAAAAAAGACUAAAAGCUUAGAGAUCAUAUUCGUCUGUAAGACAAUUAAGUUUUAGUUAGUGAGCAAACAAACUUUGAAUCUUUUGAUUUGUUUAGAGACAACAACGACUUGGUGGUACAAAGAAUACUGAGUUGUUCUUAAGCUUGGUGUAAAACUUGGUUUGUAGAGGCAAAAGUGACAAUGACAAAUACUUGUAACUUUGAGAAGUUAGUGAAACUUAAUGGUUUACCAAGAACUAGACAUAGUCAUUAUGGUUGAGACAAACCAGUAUAAAUAUGUGUGUCUUAUAGUUCUUUUCUGCUCUCUUUGUGUUUAAAUUGACCUAGAGUUUGAAUCUAAUUUUGUUUUGAUAAAUAUGAUCUAUUCAUGAAAAUUGUUUCUAUUGUUUGAUUUUGUUUAGUGCAAAAAUCUAUUAUCUAAUUUUAAAGUUAUUUUAGACGAUAACUUUGUAUUAGUUUGUAGGGAUAAUCAUUGAUCCUAAAGCAGUUGAAGCAGAUUGUUAAGGUUUCGAAAAGGGGUUACCUGCAGAUGGUUCUGACCAAUAAGGAUAUUAAGUGAAGUGUCACCGUGUGAAGUACUGUAGAAUGUGAGUCGUCAAGAAAUCGACAAUUAGGGAUGUUAUAAGUAGAGCAUGAUAACAUGUCUAGAUGUCCUCAAACUAAGACCCCCAAAUAGUUUGGGAUGCCACACCUCCUUCCAAUUUAACCAAUGAACCUUCUUAUUAGUAUAUGAAUCCCCCAAACAAGGUUCCUAUACUUUUGAUCAAUCUCGUGACAUAUCGAGCGAGACACAAGGGAGGUUUGCUAUACAAACUUAACCAAUGUUAGAUGACCAACAAAGGAAAGGCUACACACCUUCCAAUUGCUUAUAUAAUCUUUGAUUGACCUUAUCCAUGAGAGACCUGAAGGGCUCCCUUGAAGCCCUCUGGUAAUGAAGGGAAACUCCAAGCUACUUUCCUAAAUCUAAUGUCCUUUGGAAACCCAACU
This 2248-nucleotide long non-coding RNA is filed under the name Glycine max (soybean). RNAcentral's name for it is "long non-coding RNA (GMAX_LNC000143)". Lineage: Eukaryota; Viridiplantae; Streptophyta; Magnoliopsida; Fabales; Fabaceae. The record is from RNAcentral.